CGCACCUUGCGCUCCUUGGUAUUCCGAGGAGCAUGCCUGUUUGAGUGUCGUGUAAUUCUCAACUCAUAAUGUUCUUGCGAGCGUUAUGCAGUUGGAUUUGGAGGCUUUGCUGGCUUUAAUUAGUCGGCUCCUCUUAAAUGCAUUAGCUUGAUUCCGUGCGGAUCGGCUCUCAGUGUGAUAAUUGUCUACGCUGUGACCGUGAAGCGUUUGGCGAGCUUCUAAUCGUCUCAUUAGAGACAACACUUUCACAUCUGACCUCAAAUCAGGUAGGAUUACCCGCUGAACUUAA
RNAcentral lists this unclassified non-coding RNA (289 nucleotides) under Epithele macarangae. Its description in RNAcentral is "partial contains 5.8S ribosomal RNA, internal transcribed spacer 2, and large subunit ribosomal RNA". Lineage: Eukaryota; Fungi; Basidiomycota; Agaricomycetes; Polyporales; Epitheliaceae. The record is from RNAcentral.